This is a non-coding RNA of Pelobates cultripes (western spadefoot toad), 225 nucleotides long. Lineage: Eukaryota; Metazoa; Chordata; Amphibia; Anura; Pelobatidae. The record is from the annotation of a GenBank genome assembly.
GGUUUAAAUUUGAUUAUAUUCCAUUAGCAUUUUAGACAGUCUAUCCAGCCCCCUUCCUUAUCACUUGUUUAUACUAUGCAUUCCUUAGCUCUGGCAAAGAGGCCAGUCUUACAGAAAGAAAUCUAGUGUCGUCUUUGUUAAUUUGAAAUAACAAAAUGGAGUCUGGUCUGUUCAGAGUGACUCAGAAUAUACACUUUUAGUUUCUAUCAUAGCACAAAAUGUCUG